UACAGAGGGUGCAAGCGUUGUUCGGAAUCAUUGGGCGUAAAGGGCGUGUAGGCGGUCUGUUAAGUCAUGUGUGAAAUCCCUCGGCUCAACCGGGGAACGACGCAUGAAACUGACAAGCUAGAGUACCAAAGAGGGGGGUGGAAUUCCCGGUGUAGCGGUGAAAUGCGCAGAUAUCAGGAGGAACACCGGUGGCGAAGGCGGGUCUCUGGGCCGGUACUGACGCUGAGGAGCGAAAGCGUGGGGAGCGAACAGG
This 253-nucleotide ribosomal RNA is filed under the name uncultured bacterium. Its description in RNAcentral is "partial 16S ribosomal RNA". It matches the Rfam family "Bacterial small subunit ribosomal RNA", at positions 524 to 776 of the family's 1533-position model. The record is from RNAcentral.